AGUUUGAUCCUGGCUCAGAUUGAACGCUGGCGGCAGGCCUAACACAUGCAAGUCGAACGGUAACAGAGAGUAGCUUGCUACUUUGCUGACGAGUGGCGGACGGGUGAGUAAUGUCUGGGGAUCUGCCUGAUGGAGGGGGAUAACUACUGGAAACGGUAGCUAAUACCGCAUAAUGUCGCGAGACCAAAGCGGGGGACUUUCGGGCCUCGCACCAUCAGAUGAACCCAGAUGGGAUUAGCUAGUAGGUAAGGUAAUGGCUUACCUAGGCGACGAUCCCUAGCUGGUCUGAGAGGAUGACCAGCCACACUGGAACUGAGACACGGUCCAGACUCCUACGGGAGGCAGCAGUGGGGAAUAUUGCACAAUGGGCGCAAGCCUGAUGCAGCCAUGCCGCGUGUAUGAAGAAGGCCUUCGGGUUGUAAAGUACUUUCAGUCAGGAGGAAGGGUGUGAAAUUAAUACUUUCAUGCAUUGACGUUACUGACAGAAGAAGCACCGGCUAACUCCGUGCCAGCAGCCGCGGUAA
Molecule: ribosomal RNA, 524 nt
Filed under: uncultured bacterium
Lineage: Bacteria
Description: bacterial SSU rRNA
Rfam family: Bacterial small subunit ribosomal RNA
Source: RNAcentral